AAUUUUGGACAAUGGGGGCAACCCUGAUCUAGCCAUCCCGUGUGUGCGAUGAAGGCCUUCGGGUUGUAAAGCACUUCUGGCAGGGAAGAAAAGACCCAGGCUAAUACCAGGAGCUGCUGACGGUACCUGCAGAAUAAGCACCGGCUAACUAAGUGCCAGCAGCCGCGGUAAUACGUAGGGUGCAAGCGUUAAUCGGAAUUACUGGGCGUAAAGCGUGCGCAGGCAGUUCGGCAAGAAGGAUGUGAAAUCCCAGGGCUUAACCUUGGAACUGCAUUCUUAACUGCCGGGCUAGAGUAUGUCAGAGGGGGGUAGAAUUCCGCGUGUAGCAGUGAAAUGCGUAGAGAUGCGGAGGAAUACCGAUGGCGAAGGCAGCCCCCUGGGAUAAUACUGACGCUCAUGCACGAAAGCGUGGGGAGCAAAC
RNAcentral lists this ribosomal RNA (421 nucleotides) under uncultured bacterium. RNAcentral's name for it is "partial 16S ribosomal RNA". It matches the Rfam family "Bacterial small subunit ribosomal RNA", at positions 360 to 773 of the family's 1533-position model. The record is from RNAcentral.